CAAGAGCGUAUAUUAAAGUUGUUGCAGUUAAAAAGCUCGUAGUUGGAUUUCUGGUACAAUGCGCCUGGCCCGCGACCGUUAGGUCUGUGAGUGCCGGUGCGCGUUUGCCAUCCUUCUAGAAAACGUUUCUACCCUUCACUGGGCCGGACUCGCGAUCUAGAUCUUUUACUUUGAAAAAAUUAGAGUGUUUAAAGCAGGCUUUUGCUGUGAAUACAUUAGCAUGGAAUAAUAAUCUAGGACUUCGGUCCUAUUUUGUUGGUUUCUAGUACUGAAGUAAUGAUUGAUAGGGAUAGUUGGGGGUGCUAGUAUUGGCCGGCCAGAGGUGAAAUUCUUGGAUUCGGUCAAGACUAACUUAUGCGAAAGCAUUCACCAAGGAUGUCUUCUUUAA
Molecule: ribosomal RNA, 388 nt
Filed under: uncultured eukaryote
Lineage: Eukaryota
Description: partial 18S ribosomal RNA
Rfam family: Eukaryotic small subunit ribosomal RNA
Source: RNAcentral